UACGUAGGGUGCGAGCGUUAAUCGGAAUUACUGGGCGUAAAGCGUGCGCAGGCGGUUUGUUAAGUCUGAUGUGAAAUCCCCGGGCUUAACCUGGGAACUGCAUUGGUGACUGGCAGGCUUUGAGUGUGGCAGAGGGAGGUAGAAUUCCACGUGUAGCAGUGAAAUGCGUAGAGAUGUGGAGGAAUACCGAUGGCGAAGGCAGCCUCCUGGGCCAACACUGACGCUCAUGCACGAAAGCGUGGGGAGCAAACAGG
Molecule: ribosomal RNA, 254 nt
Filed under: uncultured bacterium
Lineage: Bacteria
Description: partial 16S ribosomal RNA
Rfam family: Bacterial small subunit ribosomal RNA
Source: RNAcentral